GUUUUUAUAGUGUAACUUAAACACAUUACAUUUUCGUUGUAAAACUGGAACACUUGUUUCUAAAAAUA
RNAcentral lists this transfer RNA (68 nucleotides) under Dynomene pilumnoides. RNAcentral describes it as "tRNA-Glu". Lineage: Eukaryota; Metazoa; Arthropoda; Malacostraca; Decapoda; Dynomenidae. The record is from RNAcentral.